Molecule: ribosomal RNA, 465 nt
Filed under: Vreelandella stevensii
Lineage: Bacteria; Pseudomonadati; Pseudomonadota; Gammaproteobacteria; Oceanospirillales; Halomonadaceae
Description: partial 16S ribosomal RNA
Rfam family: Bacterial small subunit ribosomal RNA
Source: RNAcentral
CCUACGGGUGGCAGCAGUGGGGAAUAUUGGACAAUGGGCGAAAGCCUGAUCCAGCCAUGCCGCGUGUGUGAAGAAGGCCUUCGGGUUGUAAAGCACUUUCAGUGGGGAAGAAAGCCUUGGGGCUAAUACCCUCGAGGAAGGACAUCACCCACAGAAGAAGCACCGGCUAACUCCGUGCCAGCAGCCGCGGUAAUACGGAGGGUGCGAGCGUUAAUCGGAAUUACUGGGCGUAAAGCGCGCGUAGGCGGUCUGAUAAGCCGGUUGUGAAAGCCCCGGGCUCAACCUGGGAACGGCAUCCGGAACUGUCAGGCUAGAGUGCAGGAGAGGAAGGUAGAAUUCCCGGUGUAGCAGUGAAAUGCGUAGAGAUCGGGAGGAAUACCAGUUGCGAAGGCGGCCUUCUGGACUGACACUGACGCUGAGGUGCGAAAGCGUGGGUAGCAAACAGGAUUAGAUACCCGAGUAGUC